UAGUGCCUGAUAGAUGACACAUGAAGCAUUUACUGAAAGAGAGGCUGAGAGAGAAAAGGGGAGGGAGGAGGGGAGAGAGAAAGUGAGAUUGGCUUGCCUGCGGACUCUCUUGGCAGCAAUCGCUUGACUGGAUGUGUUGUAAAUGACUGUGCAAAACACGCACACACACAGACGCAGUGAGUGAAAGUAACAGGAGAGGCUGCUUGAGAUCACUCUGUUGUGGAAAGUAGAGCAGCAAGGUUCCUUCACAGGAACUUAUUGGAUUCUCUCUCAGGAGUUGUGGGAUGGCGAACGCAGUCAGGAGAUGCCUGCGUGACAUGUGCUUGUGUCUCCCUGGCUGGUGUCAGCGCAGUGUAUUUCUUGGUCCAGAAGGCUACAGGUGUACUGGCAUUCGAUGCAACUGUAUUGGUGGUCCCGGGACAGGUGCCUUAUGGAUCAAGGGGCGGUCAGAGCUUU
Long non-coding RNA from Rhinichthys klamathensis goyatoka, 456 nucleotides. RefSeq lists it as uncharacterized. The record is from RefSeq and is a predicted model, not a curated record. The transcript is spliced from 3 exons. NCBI's taxonomy places the organism in Eukaryota, Metazoa, Chordata, Actinopteri, Cypriniformes, Leuciscidae.